UCACUCUGGCUCCUCUUCAAAUGUCAAAUAAAUCUUUCGCCUUUUACUAAAGAUUUCUGUGGAGAGAAGCAUUUUAAUGAGUCUAAUAUAAAUUUUUUGUUAGUGCCCGACGAAAGUUGGGCC
Phlebotomus papatasi is the source of this 123-nucleotide non-coding RNA. NCBI's taxonomy places the organism in Eukaryota, Metazoa, Arthropoda, Insecta, Diptera, Psychodidae. The record is from Rfam.